This 497-nucleotide ribosomal RNA is filed under the name uncultured bacterium. Its description in RNAcentral is "partial 16S ribosomal RNA". It matches the Rfam family "Bacterial small subunit ribosomal RNA", at positions 28 to 507 of the family's 1533-position model. The record is from RNAcentral.
GAUGAACGCUGGCGGCGUGCCUAAUACAUGCAAGUCGAGCGGAAAGAUGCGGCGCUUGCUGCGCGCACGUUAGCGGAGGGGGGGUGAAUAACACGUGGAUAACCUCCCUAUAAGACGGGGAUAACUUCGAGAAACCGGAUCUAAUACCGUAGAAUAUCUUGAACCGCAGUGUUGAAUGGUAAGAGACGGUUUUUGUGUCACUUAUAGCUGGAUCCCGGCCGCAUGAGCUAGUAGGUAAGGUAAAGGCCUUCCAAGGCAACGAGGCGUAGCCGACCUGAGGGGGUGAUCGGCCACACUGGAACUGAGACACGGUCCAGACUCCUACGGGAGGCAGCAGUAGGGAAUCUUACGCAAUGGGCGAGAGCCUGACGGAGUAACGCCGCGUGAGUGAUGAAGGUCUUCGGAUCGUAAAACUCUGUUAUUAGGGAAGAACAACUGUGGAAGUAACUAUGCACGUCUUGACGGUACCUAAUCAGAAAGCAACGGCUAACUACGUG